Pelobates cultripes (western spadefoot toad) is the source of this 362-nucleotide non-coding RNA. The record is from the annotation of a GenBank genome assembly. NCBI's taxonomy places the organism in Eukaryota, Metazoa, Chordata, Amphibia, Anura, Pelobatidae.
GGUCACAAAGCACAAGGAGUAAAAUAGACUUUUAAUGUGGAGCGAUCUUAGAAUUUGGUAUGUUUGUCUUGUAAGCUUAAUAGCCAUAAAAGAAAACAAAAUUGCCACACAAAAGUAUAUAUUUAUAUAAAGUAGACAUCACGGGCUAUUUACCUAAGGUUGUUUUGACACUUUCUACGUAGCCAUUUCACCGCCAACCUCUGCUAAAUAUUGGAGUAAAAUUGUGUUUUUUGGGGGUUUUUGGCACACAAACUUAUAACAAAGAAAUUCUCAUGUAUAUUUUGUAAAGUUGGUGUGUGCUAUUCCUGUACAAAGUUUUAUUUUGUGUUCAGUUACAUCUGCUGAGUAAAAUGACACCCCCA